CAGAUGGGAGCUUGCUCCCUGAUGUUAGCGGCGGACGGGUGAGUAACACGUGGGUAACCUGCCUGUAAGACUGGGAUAACUCCGGGAAACCGGGGCUAAUACCGGAUGGUUGUUUGAACCGCAUGGUUCAAACAUAAAAGGUGGCUUCGGCUACCACUUACAGAUGGACCCGCGGCGCAUUAGCUAGUUGGUGAGGUAACGGCUCACCAAGGCAACGAUGCGUAGCCGACCUGAGAGGGUGAUCGGCCACACUGGGACUGAGACACGGCCCAGACUCCUACGGGAGGCAGCAGUAGGGAAUCUUCCGCAAUGGACGAAAGUCUGACGGAGCAACGCCGCGUGAGUGAUGAAGGUUUUCGGAUCGUAAAGCUCUGUUGUUAGGGAAGAACAAGUACCGUUCGAAUAGGGCGGUACCUUGACGGUACCUAACCAGAAAGCCACGGCUAACUACGUGCCAGCAGCCGCGGUAAUACGUAGGUGGCAAGCGUUGUCCGGAAUUAUUGGGGCGUACGGGGCUCGCAGGCCGUUUUCGUAAGUCAG
RNAcentral lists this ribosomal RNA (540 nucleotides) under Bacillus subtilis. RNAcentral's name for it is "bacterial SSU rRNA". It matches the Rfam family "Bacterial small subunit ribosomal RNA", at positions 69 to 591 of the family's 1533-position model. Lineage: Bacteria; Bacillati; Bacillota; Bacilli; Caryophanales; Bacillaceae. The record is from RNAcentral.